UGGGUCCAAAUCUAAAGAACAGAGAAGGAAGUAAGAUCCAAGGUAAUCAUGGUCUAACGAGGGGCACAACGGGCCCGACUUCACAAGGAACUCGACCCAAAGAGGAACAGAGCUUUUUGACUUAGUAACACUGAACCAUUGGGGCCUAACGGAUUGGCCCUGGUUCAGAGCAGGUGCAGUCUCUCUGGCCACUUGCUGACAGGAAGCAUGCGGGAGUGGAAACAAAGAGCUGGGAGAAGCACUGGGCGCUAAGAGGCUUUCAGAGGCUCCUGUUGCUAGGGAACCACUUCCUCUGUGUUCGAACGCAGCCAACUCAAGCUAUUCAGACGUCACCAGAAUAAUCUUUCCUGCGCCUCUCCGGCUAUGCGGAGGGGUGGAGCUCUCAACACUUGGCUGUCAUGGUAACACCAAGCCAUGCCCAGCUUUUCCAACUGAAGCAAAGAGCCGGGGGUGUGGGAGAGAACAACACUGAAUGUGCAUCUUGUUUCAAUUCAGAGAGGCAGACGACUUACCCCUCCGCCUUUAUCUAUCCAGCGCAAACCUCUCCAAGUGAAAGAAAAAUGGGGUGUCAAGCAUUAGAGAAAGAGCAGGAAACUUCCAGCACCUGAAAUGCACCCCCAGAGUUCCCCAGUGGGAUGAAGAUUCCAUCUGCGAAGUGAUUCUUUCCUAAUAACUAGUGCCUUCUUGGUGCUUCUCCAUGCUCUUUCAUAUCUUUCUACCACCCGCGCUUGCUGAGUACGACCCUAAAAUACACGUGCUGUGCUAGAGUCCCAGGCUCGGGGUCAGCUGCAGGGGAGCCGAUGCAUCACUGCGUAGGAAAUAGAGCUUCCCUACAGGGUACUUGGAAAUAGAGCUUCAGAGCUGGGCUACAACCGCAGUCAUAAAUACCAGGGUUUUGUGGAUAAAAAGGAAAAUAUAAACAGCUGCCCUAUCUCUGCUGGAGGAAAUAAGACUUAUCCCCAAGUUACUGGAAAGUAC
This 978-nucleotide long non-coding RNA is filed under the name Fukomys damarensis (Damara mole-rat). RNAcentral describes it as "lncRNA (ENSFDAG00000029083.1)". The record is from RNAcentral. Lineage: Eukaryota; Metazoa; Chordata; Mammalia; Rodentia; Bathyergidae.